This 422-nucleotide ribosomal RNA is filed under the name uncultured bacterium. Its description in RNAcentral is "bacterial SSU rRNA". It matches the Rfam family "Bacterial small subunit ribosomal RNA", at positions 355 to 774 of the family's 1533-position model. The record is from RNAcentral.
UGAGGAAUAUUGGUCAAUGGGGGCAACCCUGAACCAGCCAAGUCGCGUGAAGGAUGAAGGUCUUAUGGAUUGUAAACUUCUUUUAUACAGGAAUAAAUUGGGGGACGUGUCCCCUUUUGCAUGUACUGUAUGAAUAAGGAUCGGCUAACUCCGUGCCAGCAGCCGCGGUAAUACGGAGAAUCCGAGCGUUAUCCGGAUUUAUUGGGUUUAAAGGGUGCGCAGGCGGGAUGUUAAGUCGGCGGUGAAAUUUUGCAGCUCAACUGUAAAAGUGCCUUCGAUACUGGCUUCCUUGAGUGUAGAUGAAGUAGGCGGAAUUUGUGGUGUAGCGGUGAAAUGCUUAGAUAUCACGAGGAACUCCGAUUGCGCAGGCAGCUUACUAAACUACAACUGACGCUCAUGCACGAAGGCGUGGGGAUCAAACA